RNAcentral lists this ribosomal RNA (424 nucleotides) under uncultured bacterium. RNAcentral's name for it is "bacterial SSU rRNA". It matches the Rfam family "Bacterial small subunit ribosomal RNA", at positions 16 to 441 of the family's 1533-position model. The record is from RNAcentral.
AUCCUGGCUCAGGACGAACGCUGGCGGCGUGCCUAACACAUGCAAGUCGAGCGGAGCUAUUAGCAAUAAUAGUUUAGCGGCGGACGGGUGAGUAACGCGUGGGCAACCUGCCUCACACUGGGGGAUAACACAGGGAAACUUGUGCUAAUACCGCAUAACAUCAUGAAAGGACAUCCUUUUAUGAUCAAAGGAGCAAUCCGGUGAGAGAUGGGCCCGCGUCCAAUUAGCUAGUUGGUGGUGUAACGGACCACCAAGGCGACGAUUGGUAGCCGAACUGAGAGGUUGAUCGGCCACAUUGGGACUGAGAUACGGCCCAGACUCCUACGGGAGGCAGCAGUGGGGAAUAUUGCGCAAUGGGGGAAACCCUGACGCAGCAACGCCGCGUGAAGGAUGAAGGUUUUCGGAUCGUAAACUUCUUUGAUGA